CCAUUCCUCCUCACAUCAGUUUUACCUUCAAUCCGAAGGAAGGGAUUGAUAAUCCAGCUCUGGUCAUCAGUGAUGAUCCUGAGCCUGAUCCGAGCCCGGUGCCCACACUCUGCCAGCUGAAGCGGCUGGAGGGACAAAGCUUCGGCUUCUACCUGCGGACGGACAAGAGCAGCCGGAGCUUUGAGAUCAGAGACGUGGACCCCUGGAGUCCUGCAGGGCAUAGUGGCCUCAAGGAUGGAGACCGAGUGCUGGAGGUCAACGAGGAAUAUGUGGACAACACGGACUUCUCCAGGAUUGUGAGGAAGAUCCAGUCAUGCGGCUUCCACCUGUUCCUCCUGGUGUUGAGGAGGGAAGAGUACGAACAGGUACUGU
Notothenia coriiceps (black rockcod) is the source of this 372-nucleotide long non-coding RNA. RefSeq lists it as uncharacterized. The record is from RefSeq and is a predicted model, not a curated record. NCBI's taxonomy places the organism in Eukaryota, Metazoa, Chordata, Actinopteri, Perciformes, Nototheniidae. The transcript has 3 exons.